AGCAAAGAGGAUACACCUGUUCCCAUUCCGAACACAGAAGUUAAGCUCUUUAGCGCCGAUGGUACUUGGUGGGAAGCUGCCUGGGAGAGUAGGACGUAGCCGCGU
Molecule: ribosomal RNA, 105 nt
Filed under: Paraclostridium bifermentans
Lineage: Bacteria; Bacillati; Bacillota; Clostridia; Peptostreptococcales; Peptostreptococcaceae
Source: RNAcentral